This 1277-nucleotide long non-coding RNA is filed under the name Homo sapiens (human). RNAcentral describes it as "non-protein coding lnc-RFK-3:1". The record is from RNAcentral. Lineage: Eukaryota; Metazoa; Chordata; Mammalia; Primates; Hominidae.
AUGGUGACCUGUCUUGGUUUCAACACCUUAAACAGGAAACACUGGGAAAAUGCAUACUUCUCCAUUCUGUAUCAGACAUGUCUUAGAGGAAACCCAUUAUAUCUGAAUGACCAAAGAAAAGUAUGAGAAAAAUGAGAAAUCUGUGCCAGGCCAUUCACAAUGUUUUGCUGGUGCCCUGGGGCCCACAUGCAUUUCAAGAAAAAUAAAGUAUGUCGAACCUGCAGAAGCCUGAAGUAUGUCUGUCAGACCUGCCUCUUAGACCUGGAGCAUGGCCUGCCCACCUAGGUUUGUGAUGCUGCGUUGUCUUUAAAAGAGGACAUGCCAAAGUCAGAUGUCAGAGAAGAGAAGAGUACUACACGCAGAAUGUGGAGAGAGGGAUUUCUAACUCGAAUGGAAGACAGCCAGUUGGCCUGCUGGGGAAAGCCACAUCCACCAGUGACAUGCUAGACAAACUGGCCUGGACCAUACCCUAUUACCUAAAGAAUAAGCCCCACAUUUGCUCCUUCUGGGUGAAGGGAGAGGGUAAGAGAGGAGAGGAGUUUCGAUAGAGACAUGAGAAGCCUACAGGUCCACAUGAUUCCCUUGCUGAUCAGAUAUUAAAAACUGAUAUUAUAUAGUCAACGACCGUGUAGCAGAUAAGCUUCUAUAGUAGGCUUCAGCCACGCCUCAUCUGGAACUCCCAGAGGAUAAGACUAUCCCCACACUAGACACCGGUGAUCCGGGUGAUACCAUUACUGAGACAGAUCUUAAGAAAUAAUCUCUACCUAUUUAGAGAGAUCUGGACAAUCCCUGUUGUGCAGAGACAGCGGUGUGCUUUCAUCCAGGUUUCCACAGGGCAGGCUGCACAAGUGGCUGUAGAGAAGUCCUUUAAUAAGUUAAUCACCAAUGGCUGCAGACUAAGUGUAAAAUGGGGAAGAUCCCAGGCAGCCAGAGGAAAGGAAAAUGACAGAACCCCAGACCCGGGGAUCCAGCUAGAGCUGAUUCCAGUACUGCCGGGAGCUCUUCCUCCUUCUGCAGCAGCAGAUGCAUCUGCCAAUGACUUCAACCUACCUCCAAGUGCUCCUACAGCUGUGGUGAACAUUGCCUUGCCAUGUUCAACUGCUAUUGCCCUGUCCCCACCCCUGCUAUUGCUCUGCCCCUACCUCCAGGAUUUGAGACACACAUGUUCCACUCAAUAGGACCACCUUCCCCUUUCAAGAGGACUCCAGGAUCCAUCCACUGUCUUUCUCAGGACCCUCAGAGAUGGAGCUCAUGCCAGAAAACACAGCAGGCCCUAG